RNAcentral lists this long non-coding RNA (373 nucleotides) under Scleropages formosus (Asian bonytongue). Its description in RNAcentral is "lncRNA (ENSSFOG00015032037.1)". The record is from RNAcentral. Lineage: Eukaryota; Metazoa; Chordata; Actinopteri; Osteoglossiformes; Osteoglossidae.
UCAGACUCCUGUGUAUAAUUAUAAUCAUGUAUUGUUCACUGAAAGAUGGUGCCGCGCAUGUUUUGGCCGUGUUUUAGUGGAACGUGUGUACAGAGUCACCUGUUGUUCGGACGUGUCUCUAAGAGCGCUUCGCCGGCAACGGGCUUCAGUUCAGGUUCUGCUCAAUAAUUAAAAGUGUCGCCAGUGGCUUCAGUGCAACGUAAGACGACGGAAUCCGCGCGCGCCUGCGUGCAGGACAUGCCAGUGGGAGAUCAGAGGUGCCCAGGGACGGGGGAGACAGAAUCGGUGAGGAAAGUCACUUCAAGGAAAAAUCGUUGUUCCACCUGCACGGGAGAAUCUGGUGAGAAACAAGAGCACAUCCUCUGAAUUCCUC